Molecule: ribosomal RNA, 802 nt
Filed under: Cladonia metaminiata
Lineage: Eukaryota; Fungi; Ascomycota; Lecanoromycetes; Lecanorales; Cladoniaceae
Description: SSU rRNA
Rfam family: Eukaryotic small subunit ribosomal RNA
Source: RNAcentral
CUAAGUUUAAGCAAUCUAUACGGUGAAACUGCGAAUGGCUCAUUAAAUCAGUUAUCGUUUAUUUGAUAGUACCUUACUACUUGGAUACCUGUGGUAAUUCUAGAGCUAAUACAUGCUAAAAACCUCGACUUCGGAAGGGGUGUAUUUAUUAGAUAAAAAACCAAUGCCCUUCGGGGCUCCUUGGUGAUUCAUAAUAACUUCACGAAUCGCAUGGCCUUGAGCCGGCGAUGGUUCAUUCAAAUUUCUGCCCUAUCAACUUUCGAUGGUAGUAUAGAGGACUACCAUGGUUUCUACGGGUAACGGGGAAUUAGGGUUCUAUUCCGGAGAGGGAGCCUGAGAAACGGCUACCACAUCCAAGGAAGGCAGCAGGCGCGCAAAUUACCCAAUCCCGACACGGGGAGGUAGUGACAAUAAAUACUGAUCCAGGGCUCUUUUGGGUCUUGGAAUUGGAAUGAGUACAAUUUAAAUCCCUUAACGAGGAACAAUUGGAGGGCAAGUCUGGUGCCAGCAGCCGCGGUAAUUCCAGCUCCAAUAGCGUAUAUUAAAGUUGUUGCAGUUAAAAAGCUCGUAGUUGAAACUUGGGCCUGGCUGACCGGUCCGCCUCACCGCGUGCACUGGCUCGGCCGGGCCUUUCCUUCUGGGGAACCGCAUGGCCUUCAUUGGUCGUGUUGGGGAUCCAGGACUUUUACUUUGAAAAAAUUAGAGUGUUCAAAGCAGGCCUAUGCUCGAAUACAUUAGCAUGGAAUAAUAGAAUAGGACGUGUGGUUCUAUUUUGUUGGUUUCUAGGACCGCCGUAAUGAUA